Long non-coding RNA from Acinonyx jubatus (cheetah), 3398 nucleotides. RefSeq lists it as uncharacterized. The transcript is spliced from 3 exons. The record is from RefSeq and is a predicted model, not a curated record. NCBI's taxonomy places the organism in Eukaryota, Metazoa, Chordata, Mammalia, Carnivora, Felidae.
AACAUUAGGAAGCCAGUUAGCAGCUGAGAGGGAGAGGAGAGAAAUUUAAAAUAAUCAUGGUGGAGGGCAGGAGCCUGCACUGACCAGAGAAAUGCCCAGAAAGACCAAAGCCUAUUGAAUGAAUGCACUUGGUGAAGGUGAACUCACAAAGGAGCCAUUGUGCCCCAUGAGUGGCUUUUCCCUGGCAGUCCUUGAGAGCUGAGUUAUUUGACUUUUUAUUGUCUUCUUGGGGCAAGGACUUCCUCCUGAUUCCACUCUAUCAUCCUGGGAAUUUUUUUCCUACAGAUCCAGGAAGAGGGAGGAAAUGAAGGGAGGCUCAGAAAGAAGCAGUUUAACUUAUAUGAAAAAUAUUUUGACUAACUCAUUGAGUUUGUCAAGUAAAACAGUGAGCAAUGUGAGACCUGGAGAGAGGCAGAGAAAUUCAGAAGAUUCUGAGAGAAAUGUUAAGGACAACUGUUAGAAGAAGGCUAGUGGCCCCUCCUAACCUCCUAACUUGAGGACUGAUUGACCUUCUAGGUGUUACUCCCAAUGACCCAACUUUGAACUAACUGCCCAUGUGGCAAGGUGAUGUGAAGAUACUUUCAUUCUGAAGGAAGACUCUAACAAUACAAAGGAAUGAAUAUCUAAUGUUGGAACUUCAGGUACAUAAAGUGUCCAAAGAUGUUUUGGGCCAGGAUGUUCUACCUUGUGCUGUUCAAAUGAUCGACUAGGUAGCCUCCUACUUUACCCUCUUAAGAGGUUGGCUCUGCCCUUUGGAACUUCAGAAACAUCUGGCUCAUUGUCUUUCUCAAAGAAAAAGUUUGCCACGCCAGAUCUGAGGAAUGCAGGCAGCUUGCUGUGAACACACUUAUCUGGAGUGCCCUGGGCCUCAGGCGGUCCUAUGAAAAGGCCAAUAUGGAGAGAAACUGAGGCCUCCCAUCCAGAGCCAACACAAACUUCCUCGUCAUGAGUGAAUCAGCAGGGAAGUGGAGUCUUCAACUCCAGUUCAGCCUUCAAAAGGUUUCAGCCUUACCUGCUAUCAGCCCGUAUCGUCAUGAGACACACUGAGCCAGAACCAUCUAGUCAAACCACUGCCAAAUAACUGAAGCACAGAAACCAUAAGAGAUAAUAAAAGAUCAAGUGUUAUUUUAAGUCUCAAAGUUUUGGGGUAAUUUAUCAGGCAGCCAUAGUAAAUAGAAUAUAUUAUGUAUUGUCCCCAGGUAAAAUGCUCAUUCACUUCCUUUAAAAGUUCUUGGAGGUAGGAAGAAUAUAAACACAUAAAAAUCUUCAUCACCCUAUUAUAUCUGAUGAUUUCAAAGCUUUGCAAUAACUACUAAGACCUCAGACAUCACAUUCCAAUAAAGGUAUAAGAAUCAAAUUAUUUCUUUAGUAUUUAUAGAUAUCAUCAAUGUUUUCAUCUACAGCCUCUACAAACUGCCUUUGUUCCCUGCUGACAUCAUACUUUCAUUAUACCUGGUAUUCUUCAAAUCACUCGUUUGCAAGGAAAGUGAAUUUAGAAUUGCUAGCCAUCAGUCUGUCAAUGACGCCAUCAAGCAAUUUUGGUUUUUUUUCUAAGUAGUCCUGGAAGGCAUUUAUUGUUCCCUUUUCACAGGCAAGGAAGUUGAGGCUCACAGAGAUUAAAGGGCUACAGCCACGUAAUUGGUUAUUGAGAGCUAGGACUGAAGCUCAGCCUCCUGACUCUACACUAAGAGAUCUUGUUUCUUCACCUCUGAGUAUAGAUAGUCCAGAGUGGCUUUGGGUUAUAGGUCAGACAGUCUUUACCAUUGUGCUAGUACUGACUCUAGAAAUUAAGGUCCAAGCUUAUGUUCAUGAUAAAUAUACACGGUCCAAGUGCUGGGUAUCUAUUGGCAAAUAAAACCCACAUCUUCACUUUCAUGGAUCUUCCGGUCCAGUCUAGGAGCUUACAGUCUAUCUGAUACGUAUUUUUUUUCCUUGGACAUCUAUUUAUUGCUUAAUUAAGGCUUUAUAAUAUUGCAUGAAUGAAAAGCAAUAGGAUGCCUUGAGACUCAUCAAUUACUUAACCCUUGAACUUUUGUAAGGUUUUCUUUCUUUCUUCUUAAAGCUAAAUUCCCCAGAUGGGUGAGUAAUUAGAUCAAGGUUCAGAAUAACAAAGACAGAUAAGGUAACUGCAAACAACAUCAUCCCACGUUGAAAGAGCUAUUCUGGUCUUUCACCUAAAGUGACUUCUUUCUGCUGAAAGAGAUUUGGCACCAGCUAGCUUAGCUGAUGGCAGAAAAAUCAACCAUGAAAUAUAAAGGUUUCAUAAGAUUGUGACAUAACCCAGUUUUUUACAGCCAUUAUAUAAUCAAUGGCAAAACAGCAGGGGGACCGAAAUAACUUAUACCUUACUUUUGGAAUGCAAUAAAAUCUCUAUUUUGCUGUCUCCACAGAUUUAAAGUCCCUAUUUUGUUUUGAUGAUGACUUCAAUUAGUUUUCAUUUCUUAUGCACUAACCAAUUGAAAGUGGUAAGGAAGGAUGGUCAGAGGCAUGCUAUAUGGCAAAGACAAGUCAUUUCAGAAUUCAGAAAUUUGCUCCAGGAAGCCCAUCAGAAAGAUAAAACUUAUUACGGAGAGGCCACAGGAGAAUAAAGAAGAAUUAGUUUAUAAGCAAACAAGUAUGUUUUUUCUUUUAUUAUUAUUAUUUUUUGUUUAUUUAUUUUUGAGAGAGAGAGAGAGCAUAAGCAGGGGAGGGGCAGAGAGAGAGAGGGAGACACAUAAUCCGAAGCAGGUUUCAGGCUCCAAGCUGUCAGCACAGCCCGACACAGGUCUGGAACCCAUGAGCCGUGGGAUCAUGACCUGAGCUGAAGUUGGACGUUUAACGGACUGAGCCACCCAGGCGCCCUAACAAUGUGUUUUUCAAGGAAAGGGUGACAAUGGCAAAAUGUUCCAAGGUUUGUUUCACUGAUAACAGGUCAGGAAGAAGGUAUGUUUUUGAGACUUCUUGGAGAGUAUAAGAGUUGAGUCAGAUGGCAGUGGGGAAUGCAGGACACCUGGGAAGAGACUUAUUAAUUCAUGCAUAUAAAAAUGCUUUUGAGUCACUGGGCUGGGAUCUGGACUACAAAUAUGAAAUAGACACAGUCCUUGCCUUCAAGGCAGUUACAGUUAGUGGGAGAAACAGAAAGGGCAAAGGAAUUUAAUCAUGGUAAAUGGAGGAAUGCAGGGGUUCUUAGGAGGGAUAACUAACUUUCAUUUGAAAAGUCGGAGAAGGUUUCCUAGAAGAAUUCCCUAAAGCUGAGAUCUGAAAGAUGAGAAAGACCAAAGAAGAGUGUCCCUAAGGAAGCAAACUGUCUACGUAAAAAGCUCAGGGGCGAAAGCAGGCAAGCACAGAGUAUUGAAGGAAAAGAAAAGAGUGUACAGGUGGAGGGUUGGGGGGAUAGUGGUGGGAGAUAAGGGAUAAGG